GUCGUACGCUUCUUUUUCCACCGGAGCUUGCUCCACCGGAAAAAGAAGAGUGGCGAACGGGUGAGUAACACGUGGGUAACCUGCCCAUCAGAAGGGGAUAACACUUGGAAACAGGUGCUAAUACCGUAUAACAAUCGAAACCGCAUGGUUUUGAUUUGAAAGGCGCUUUCGGGUGUCGCUGAUGGAUGGACCCGCGGUGCAUUAGCUAGUUGGUGAGGUAACGGCUCACCAAGGCCACGAUGCAUAGCCGACCUGAGAGGGUGAUCGGCCACAUUGGGACUGAGACACGGCCCAAACUCCUACGGGAGGCAGCAGUAGGGAAUCUUCGGCAAUGGACGAAAGUCUGACCGAGCAACGCCGCGUGAGUGAAGAAGGUUUUCGGAUCGUAAAACUCUGUUGUUAGAGAAGAACAAGGAUGAGAGUAACUGUUCAUCCCUUGACGGUAUCUAACCAGAAAGCCACGGCUAACUACGUGCCAGCAGCCGCGGUAAUACGUAGGUGGCAAGCGUUGUCCGGAUUUAUUGGGCGUAAAGCGAGCGCAGGCGGUUUCUUAAGUCUGAUGUGAAAGCCCCCGGCUCAACCGGGGAGGGUCAUUGGAAACUGGGAGACUUGAGUGCAGAAGAGGAGAGUGGAAUUCCAUGUGUAGCGGUGAAAUGCGUAGAUAUAUGGAGGAACACCAGUGGCGAAGGCGGCUCUCUGGUCUGUAACUGACGCUGAGGCUCGAAAGCGUGGGGAGCAAACAGGAUUAGAUACCCUGGUAGUCCACGCCGUAAACGAUGAGUGCUAAGUGUUGGAGGGUUUCCGCCCUUCAGUGCUGCAGCUAACGCAUUAAGCACUCCGCCUGGGGAGUACGACCGCAAGGUUGAAACUCAAAGGAAUUGACGGGGGCCCGCACAAGCGGUGGAGCAUGUGGUUUAAUUCGAAGCAACGCGAAGAACCUUACCAGGUCUUGACAUCCUUUGACCACUCUAGAGAUAGAGCUUCCCCUUCGGGGGCAAAGUGACAGGUGGUGCAUGGUUGUCGUCAGCUCGUGUCGUGAGAUGUUGGGUUAAGUCCC
This 1057-nucleotide ribosomal RNA is filed under the name Enterococcus faecium. RNAcentral describes it as "bacterial SSU rRNA". It matches the Rfam family "Bacterial small subunit ribosomal RNA", at positions 61 to 1088 of the family's 1533-position model. The record is from RNAcentral. Lineage: Bacteria; Bacillati; Bacillota; Bacilli; Lactobacillales; Enterococcaceae.